GACAUGUCCUACAGGCGGCAAACAUGGUUAUGGUAUUUUACGUACAUCAGGUCAGGAUUAACGUGUCGUUCUUGCAUUCACCACACUACACAACCACCUUUGAUCUUGAAUAACAAUGACCCAGGCAAACAACGGAUCUAUGUCCACCUGUCAAAAGUAUCUGCUGCAACCAGGUGAAAUCUGGGUGUGUCCUUAGUCUCCUUUUACCACUGGGAUCCUCACCACUGAGGCACCUAUGUGCUGGAUCAUGCACAGAGAAACGCACCAUGUAGCCAAAAUAUCAUAGCUAGCAUUCACUCUAUUACAUAAGUAAAAUAAAAUUGCUUUUUGUUUGCAUUCAUCCUUUUGAGUUAUGUUAAGCUGCAGGGGAUGGACUCAUUUGUUUGUUAAUUCAAUGAAUUUUGCAGGGUGCAAGAUGGUUCAGUGAGACAUCUAGCUAUAAACAGUUGACAGUGAACACAAACCUCUGCCCAGAGUCUAGACGUAUUCUGUUGAACAUUCACUGUGUGAGACAGGUGACACCCUCGAUGUAUUGCAACAGCCAGCACAUUCAUUCAAAAGUAAGGCUG
Thalassophryne amazonica is the source of this 569-nucleotide long non-coding RNA. RefSeq lists it as uncharacterized. The record is from RefSeq and is a predicted model, not a curated record. The transcript is spliced from 2 exons. Lineage: Eukaryota; Metazoa; Chordata; Actinopteri; Batrachoidiformes; Batrachoididae.